This 149-nucleotide long non-coding RNA is filed under the name Felis catus (domestic cat). RNAcentral describes it as "lncRNA (ENSFCAG00000046408.2)". Lineage: Eukaryota; Metazoa; Chordata; Mammalia; Carnivora; Felidae. The record is from RNAcentral.
CGUCUACUUUUGGAAAUCAUGCUGUGAAGAGACUUGAUCUCAGGAUCUUUCUUGGAACUCUUGGAAACAGUGGUAAAGAAACCAUGGACCAAGUGGGCUGUUGGGCAGAGGAGUCCCCACGGAGUUGGCCCUUUAUGUAUAUUGCCUCU